This 305-nucleotide ribosomal RNA is filed under the name uncultured bacterium. Its description in RNAcentral is "partial 16S ribosomal RNA". It matches the Rfam family "Bacterial small subunit ribosomal RNA", at positions 334 to 639 of the family's 1533-position model. The record is from RNAcentral.
CUUGCCUACGGGGGGCAGCAGUGGGGAAUAUUGCACAAUGGGGGAAACCCUGAUGCAGCGACGCCGCGUGAGUGAAGAAGUAUUUCGGUACGUAAAGCUCUAUCAGCAGGGAAGAAAAAAAGUCCUUUGGACUUUGGACGGUACCUGACCAAGAAGCCCCGGCUAACUACGUGCCAGCAGCCGCGGUAAUACGUAGGGGGCAAGCGUUAUCCGGAAUGAUUGGGCGUAAAGGGUGCGCAGGCGGUCCUGCAAGUCUGGAGUGAAACGCAUGAGCUCAACUCAUGCAUGGCUUUGGAAACUGGAGG